This is a long non-coding RNA of Syngnathoides biaculeatus (alligator pipefish), 4599 nucleotides long. RefSeq lists it as uncharacterized. Lineage: Eukaryota; Metazoa; Chordata; Actinopteri; Syngnathiformes; Syngnathidae. The record is from RefSeq and is a predicted model, not a curated record. The transcript has 3 exons.
UCAAAAAAAAAGAACAGUGACACAUUUAUAUUUAAAAAUAUUUUCAUUUUUUCACAAUAUUUUUAAUGGUGACCACCCCUAUGGUGGGGUAGCGCCACUAAGACCGGCUAUUGUUGGAAUAAUGAAUAUGGGCAACUUUACCCCAAUCCUGUUAUUACUACAUAUUAAUAACUGACACGUUGACCAGCCAAUGACAGUGCAGCAUAAACAUCAAUAACACCUGGCAAGUACUGUAUGUACAUGUUAUUUAUAUUUUUGGCUUGUUUUUUCAGUGAUAAACAGUCAGAUGCUGAGUGGGAAUAUUCAAUAUAAUUUUGCCCCAAGUCCUGGAUGGUCGGUUUGAAUCUGUAUGUGUGUGUGGGAUUGCUCUUCCUCCCACAUUCCCAAAACAUGCAUGUUCAUUGAAUGCAUUUUCAUGACACUGACAUAUCGGCCGGCCAGUGAUAGCGCAGCAUCUUCCAGGUCCGACACCAAAGAUCUCUUUCCAAACAUCUUUUCCAAAGUGUUCCCACAGGAGUGCGAGACGGUCUAUUUCCCUUUUCCUGUACGCAUAAUGGCUUCCCGCCCCGCCGCGUUUUCCCAUUUACCGAGCUGACUUUUAACGUCUCAUUUGAUACCCAACGCAUCCUGUUUUAUAGUUCAAAAAUCACAAGGAGCUCUUAAAGCCCUGCACGGCCUACUUAUCGGACUUGAGCGUCGAGGCCGUGUGUCGUCUUAGCGCUUUUCCUUCGAGAGGAUACGAGAUGCAUUAGGCUCAAGAUGGAGAAGGAGUCCAGCGUCGCAGCUUCCUGGAUCCUCCUAUUGUUUACGCCUGCUGUUUAAAUUUUCCCACAGGGGGAGAGGAAAGGCGCCCGCAUCACGGUUUUCAACUUUACGAGUGCCUCGAUUAUUUCGGGCUUCGCGGUUACAGAUCCGAGGAGAUGUUCCAAAGUAGUCCCGGCGUCAUUGUCUGGGCAUCGUCCACUUCCUUUUUUGUUUCACGCUAAAUAGUCAACGUGACCCUGCGUUGCGCUUGUAUCAUCCUAAAACUCUCUGAGGGGGACGUUGGUCAUUUCUGUUCCUUUUUUUAACCUUUUUAGCUGUGGUAAAGACAUUUCCGGAGGGACUGGAUUUGUGUCUUGUCUUAUUUCCAUUGUCUGCUCCAUGAUUAUGCUAUUUACAUCAAAUCACUCCUUUUGGCACUAUCGUGGCUACUUUUAGCCAACGGAAACCCAUAAAAGUGAUUUUUUUUCAAAAUCCUUGUUAAAUACUAGAUUGAAUUAAAUCAUUUAUGUCAAGUGACACUGGUCUGGUCCGCUCCUUUCUCCCUGUGCCUGGGUGAAAUUCUCUGGGUACUCUGGUUUCCUUCAUAUUCCCCAAAAAAUGGAUGGCAGGUUAAUUAAAAUGAAUACCAGCAAAUAUCCAACCGCGUUCAUUCAAAGGCUAUGUGGGUUGAGUGUCUUGCCCAGUGACACCACGGCAACAUGUACUUGGUCGACCUUUCGGUUGCAGGGUGUAUGCUUAGCUUUUGCACCGUGACACCAUCCAUCCAUCCAUUUUCUUUGCUGCUUAUCCUCACUCGGGUUGUGGGGAGUGCUGGAGCUUACACCAGCUGUCAACGGGCAGGAGGCGGAGUACACCCUGAACUGGUUGCCAGUCAAUCGCAGGGCACAUUGAGACAAACAGCCGCACUCACGGUCACACCUAGGGGCAAUUUAGAGUGUUCAAUUAAUGUUGAAUGUUUUUGGAAUGUGGGGGCGAAACCGGAGUGCCCGGGGGAAACCCGCGCAGGUACGGGGAGAACAUGCAAACUCUACACAGGCAGGUCCGGGAUUGAACCCGGUACCUUCGAACUGUGAGGCCAAUCCUUAACAAGCUGAUACACCGUGCCACACCUGCACCAUGACACCUCAAAAUAAAUUGUCCGUAGGUGCGAAUAUAUAUUUUUUGUCUAUGCAUGCCCUGUGACUGGCUAGCGAGCAGUUUAGUGUGUACCGCGCCUCUUGACCAAAGUCAGCUGGGAUUGGCUCGUGCACACCCACGACCCGAGUGAGGAUAAGCGUGACGAAGAGGGGAUGGAUGAGCUCUUAGUUUCUGUAAAAUCUGUUUAAUGGCGCCAUAAUGCAACAAAUGAAUGAUGCAAUUUUGAUUUUAAGAAGUGGAGAUGUCCUGUUUUGAACACGAAGUAUUACAUUUCAACAUAAAAGUGGAAGUUUAUAUGCUAGCUGUUGAAAUAUUCCACUACUACUCAAGUAGCUGUAUAACCUUAUAAUAUACAGUACUCAGACAGUUUAGUUUUUGUCUCAAGUUUCAAGACCAAGCAGUUUGCUUUACAUGUGCUUGCAACAGUUUGGCAGAUAGGGAACAAUUUUUUUUUUCAAAACAGAGACCAAACGCUUGCCAUCCAUCCAUCCAUCCAUCCAUCCAUCCAUCCAUCCAUCCAUCCAUCCAUCCAUCCAUCCAUCCAUUUCCUGAGCUGCUUACUCUCACAAGUGUUGUGUGAGUGCUGGAGCCAAUCCCAGCUGUCAUCGGGUAGGAGGCACACUGAACUGGUUGCCAGCCAAUCGCAGGCCAUUCACACUCACAUUCACACCUAUGGGCAAUUUAGACUCUCCAGUUAAUGCAUGUUUUUGGGAUGUGAGAAGAAACCAGAGCACCUGGAGAAACCUCACACAAGCACAGAGGGAGAACAUGCAAUAUAAAUAUAAAAAUGUAUGCGAGCUACAAACAGGAUGGAAGGGUAGUGCAAUCAAAUACGAAGUGAUGGAUCAACACAUCACGUUUAUUUAUUAUUUUUUUGCUUUAAAAAAAAAAAAGAUUUGUCUUUCUGGAGCGCCUAUUUUCAUAAGGCCUCCAAAUAAGGAUAGUGACUAAUGUCCCAGGUCGGCACAAGGCGACACGCAUGUGCGGCUGGAGCCCUGAUUCCAGUGUUUAUUUUAGCCGAGCGUAUCCCAGCACCUCUCAUCACCCAUGCGGCCGCGCGGGGGGGGGAGGCGGCAGGGAGAGAUAACGGCGGUCGGACUGAUUGCGUUUUCCCGUCUAUUUGCGCCCUACCCUGGGCCUUUCCCGUCCGUGACGUUUUAAGAAGCUCACAAAAGAUUUGCUUGGUUGUAUAAUUUCACCCUCGGUGGGUGGGCAGGCACCACAGAGGCCGAACAUUUUUGUAUACAAUCAAUUAAAAAGUUUAUUCACGCGGCCUUUGCGGCUUCCCGUAUUGAGAUAAUCGGCGGGCGCUGAUGUCAGCACCACACGCAUCCGAAACAAUUUGUCUUGAAGAACCUGUCCGUGAGAGACUUUGGAAACCCAAAUAACAGCCAGAGGAGUAAUACAUGCUGACUGAAUUGAAUAGGAUACCUUAUGCGCUAUUGUAGAUUGGAAAUGCCGUACAGGGGUGUCAAAAUUAAGAUUAACAUUUAUUGUCAUGGUCUCCAAUUUGGUUGGGUGGUUUUGUUUGUUUCUUGUGUUCAAAUUAUCGUGUGCUCAUUUUGUUAGCCGUGUCCACUUGUUCGCGUUUUCCCUCCUCCCUUGUGUUGACCCAUCAGCUAUCUGUGCCCUUACCAUUGUCUCUCUGUACCAAGUCUUGUUUCUAGGUUAGGUUUAUUUAAGGUUUUCUUAGACUGAUUAGUUUUCUUUUAUUUCAAAUUAAUCAAACAUUUUUUGAGAGUCAUGGACUCCUGCCCUGCAUCCUUGCUUCCCUGCACUUGGGUCAUCCUUGUCUUUGCCGAUUCCUCACCUUCACUACUCCCGACCGUGACAGUUAAAUAACUUAUAACUCAGAUAAGUUGACUGGAAAAUAGGGUAACAAAAACAAAUAAAUACAUAAAUUAGAAAGAACACUCCACCCAGGAAGAGAUUUCUCCCACCGGAAGUAAUGUUUCAAACGGACAUUUAUUGCAGACGGACGCAAUGGUGGGCUGCUGAUAAAGUUUGGAGAAAACGACAGAGGAGCGUCUCCUGUGGUGUGGAUUUUGCUUUCUGGAAUAUUACCCCCCCCCCCCCCAAAAAAACCAAAGGCAGAAGAAAAGAAAAAAAUCUUUUGAUGCUCACCAAACUGAGGUCUCAUUAGACUUUGAACAAAAGAGCUCCGCCUCUUGUGUGUACUCGAGGGCGGCGCGCAUCCCCAAAUAUCAGCGACGGCAGGUUGAAAGGCGCAAAAUAAGGUCAGUGUCACCGCGCUGCAUUAUUAAUGGCCGACUGUUUAUCGCCUCGCCCGUUGAAUCGGCGCGGCCUCGCCAUGAAAUAUUGAUGCAAUUUCCCCCGGCUUAACACGGAGAGGAAGCGACGGGAUAAAGAAACGAGGUGUAACGCUGGGUGGCAUGAUGCCCGCUCGCGGCGUGUGUCAAACACGGCGAAGAAAUCGCUGCUCAGCUGGACGCGUGAUCGUGUUCGCAGUACUGUUGAACUUCACCCGCCGUGGCUGUGAAGGGAGAAAAACUCGUGGUGUGACCGCCAUCGUCCCUUGACUUCAACCCUAUCGAGCAGGUUUUAUUGAGCCAAGGUACAUAUUAAUAGUAUCUAACCUGCAAAGCAUCCUUGAAAAUCCAUGAAACCUUGGGUUACAGUAAUAUAAACGAAAUCUGUUUAUUAAAGAAGAAAUAAAAUCUCAUGAUAUGGCCACUA